This 2896-nucleotide ribosomal RNA is filed under the name Klebsiella michiganensis. RNAcentral describes it as "23S ribosomal RNA". It matches the Rfam family "Bacterial large subunit ribosomal RNA". Lineage: Bacteria; Pseudomonadati; Pseudomonadota; Gammaproteobacteria; Enterobacterales; Enterobacteriaceae. The record is from RNAcentral.
GGUUAAGCGACUAAGCGUACACGGUGGAUGCCCUGGCAGUCAGAGGCGAUGAAGGACGUGCUAAUCUGCGAAAAGCGUCGGUAAGGUGAUAUGAACCGUUACAGCCGGCGAUGUCCGAAUGGGGAAACCCAGUGCAAUUCGUUGCACUAUCGUUGAUGAAUACAUAGUCAAACGAGGCGAACCGGGGAACUGAAACAUCUAAGUACCCCGAGGAAAAGAAAUCAACCGAGAUUCCCCAGUAGCGGCGAGCGAACGGGGAGCAGCCCGGAGUCUGAAUCAGCUUGUGUGUUAGUGGAAGCGUCUGGAAAGUCGCAGGGUACAGGGUGAUACUCCCGUACACUAAAACACACAGGUUGUGAACUCGAAGAGUAGGGCGGGACACGUGGUAUCCUGUCUGAAUAUGGGGGGACCAUCCUCCAAGGCUAAAUACUCCUGACUGACCGAUAGUGAACCAGUACCGUGAGGGAAAGGCGAAAAGAACCCCGGCGAGGGGAGUGAAAAAGAACCUGAAACCGUGUACGUACAAGCAGUAGGAGCCCACUAGUUGGGUGACUGCGUACCUUUUGUAUAAUGGGUCAGCGACUUAUAUUCUGUAGCAAGGUUAACCGUAUAGGGGAGCCGCAGGGAAACCGAGUCUUAACUGGGCGUUAAGUUGCAGGGUAUAGACCCGAAACCCGGUGAUCUAGCCAUGGGCAGGUUGAAGGUUGGGUAACACUAACUGGAGGACCGAACCGACUAAUGUUGAAAAAUUAGCGGAUGACUUGUGGCUGGGGGUGAAAGGCCAAUCAAACCGGGAGAUAGCUGGUUCUCCCGAAAGCUAUUUAGGUAGCGCCUCGUGAAUUCAUCUUCGGGGGUAGAGCACUGUUUCGGCUAGGGGUCAUCCCGACUUACCAACCCGAUGCAAACUACGAAUACCGAAGAAUGUUAUCACGGGAGACACACGGCGGGUGCUAACGUCCGUCGUGAAGAGGGAAACAACCCAGACCGCCAGCUAAGGUCCCAAAGUCAUGGUUAAGUGGGAAACGAUGUGGGAAGGCCCAGACAGCCAGGAUGUUGGCUUAGAAGCAGCCAUCAUUUAAAGAAAGCGUAAUAGCUCACUGGUCGAGUCGGCCUGCGCGGAAGAUGUAACGGGGCUAAACCAUGCACCGAAGCUGCGGCAGCGACACUAUGUGUUGUUGGGUAGGGGAGCGUUCUGUAAGCCGUUGAAGGUGGCCUGUGAGGGUUGCUGGAGGUAUCAGAAGUGCGAAUGCUGACAUAAGUAACGAUAAUGCGGGUGAAAAACCCGCACGCCGGAAGACCAAGGGUUCCUGUCCAACGUUAAUCGGGGCAGGGUGAGUCGACCCCUAAGGCGAGGCCGAAAGGCGUAGUCGAUGGGAAACAGGUUAAUAUUCCUGUACUUGGUGUUACUGCGAAGGGGGACGGAGAAGGCUAUGUUGGCCGGGCGACGGUUGUCCCGGUUUAAGCGUGUAGGUGUGUGUUCCAGGUAAAUCCGGUUCACUUUAACACUGAGGCGUGAUGACGAGGCACUACGGUGCUGAAGUGACAAAUGCCCUGCUUCCAGGAAAAGCCUCUAAGCAUCAGGUAACAUCAAAUCGUACCCCAAACCGACACAGGUGGUCAGGUAGAGAAUACCAAGGCGCUUGAGAGAACUCGGGUGAAGGAACUAGGCAAAAUGGUGCCGUAACUUCGGGAGAAGGCACGCUGAUGGUAAGUGAAGCGACUUGCUCGUGGAGCUGAAAUCAGUCGAAGAUACCAGCUGGCUGCAACUGUUUAUUAAAAACACAGCACUGUGCAAACACGAAAGUGGACGUAUACGGUGUGACGCCUGCCCGGUGCCGGAAGGUUAAUUGAUGGGGUUAUCCGCGGAGAAGCUCUUGAUCGAAGCCCCGGUAAACGGCGGCCGUAACUAUAACGGUCCUAAGGUAGCGAAAUUCCUUGUCGGGUAAGUUCCGACCUGCACGAAUGGCGUAAUGAUGGCCAGGCUGUCUCCACCCGAGACUCAGUGAAAUUGAACUCGCUGUGAAGAUGCAGUGUACCCGCGGCAAGACGGAAAGACCCCGUGAACCUUUACUAUAGCUUGACACUGAACACUGGUCCUUGAUGUGUAGGAUAGGUGGGAGGCUUUGAAGUGUGGACGCCAGUCUGCAUGGAGCCAUCCUUGAAAUACCACCCUUUAAUGGCUGGUGUUCUAACGUGGGCCCCUAAUCGGGGUUGCGGACAGUGUCUGGUGGGUAGUUUGACUGGGGCGGUCUCCUCCUAAAGAGUAACGGAGGAGCACGAAGGUCAGCUAAUCCUGGUCGGACAUCAGGAGGUUAGUGCAAUGGCAUAAGCUGGCUUGACUGCGAGCGUGACGGCGCGAGCAGGUGCGAAAGCAGGUCAUAGUGAUCCGGUGGUUCUGAAUGGAAGGGCCAUCGCUCAACGGAUAAAAGGUACUCCGGGGAUAACAGGCUGAUACCGCCCAAGAGUUCAUAUCGACGGCGGUGUUUGGCACCUCGAUGUCGGCUCAUCACAUCCUGGGGCUGAAGUAGGUCCCAAGGGUAUGGCUGUUCGCCAUUUAAAGUGGUACGCGAGCUGGGUUUAGAACGUCGUGAGACAGUUCGGUCCCUAUCUGCCGUGGGCGCUGGAGAAUUGAGGGGGCUGCUCCUAGUACGAGAGGACCGGAGUGGACGCAUCACUGGUGUUCGGGUUGUCAUGCCAAUGGCAUUGCCCGGUAGCUAAAUGCGGAAGAGAUAAGUGCUGAAAGCAUCUAAGCACGAAACUUGCCCCGAGAUGAGUUCUCCCUGACCCUUUAAGGGUCCUGAAGGAACGUUGAAGACGACGACGUUGAUAGGCCGGGUGUGUAAGCGCAGCGAUGCGUUGAGCUAACCGGUACUAAUGAACCGUGAGGCUUAACCUU